This 1854-nucleotide unclassified non-coding RNA is filed under the name Portunus trituberculatus (swimming crab). RNAcentral's name for it is "tRNA:m(4)X modification enzyme TRM13 homolog, transcript variant X6". Lineage: Eukaryota; Metazoa; Arthropoda; Malacostraca; Decapoda; Portunidae. The record is from RNAcentral.
CUUCGUCCAGUGCCAAACGUGUGUGUGUGUUGGGGAAGAAUAUCAGCAAUACAAGACUAUGAAAAGAAAACCAGACACAGCUAGAUUAUAAAAAAAAAAAAAUAAAUAAAUAAAUAAAAAAAUAAUAAUAAAUAAAUAAAUAAAAACAAAGAUUUAUCGUAACUUGUUCCGGGGGAGUGGGAGGUGAACUUGUCAGGUUAGUGGUCGUCAUGGCAGCAGGCAGUGGGAAUGGUGGUGGUGUGCACGCCCAGAAGGUGUGUGGGUUCUUCCUGCAGCAUAAGGGCAGACCGUGCAGGAUGCUGGUGAAGGCAGGGCGGCGGUACUGCGGCCAGCACCUGGUGGAGGAGAACUCGGAGGAGACAACUGGCAAGCACAAGAGGAUUCCUUGCCCUCUGGAUCCAAAGCACUCCUGCUUUGAGCACCGCCUGGACCACCACCUCACUAUCUGCAAUGCUCGGGUUGUGACAGACCUUCCCCACCUCAGGCUCAACUGUAAUCUGCGGGUGUGUGGGGAGUACAUGCCCGCUAAAGUGUCCCUCUCCUCCCUGCCUGAUGAAGUGCUGCUAGCCUUCAUCACCAAGUUGGAAAGGAUACAUGCAGACGCCAUCGAUGCUGUCAGAGAGUCAAUUAUGUGUCUGGAUGCGGUGGAGGCAGUGAUAGCAGAAUGCUGCGGCAGUCCCAGCAUGGUGCGCCAUCUCAGGCAGACCUCCUCCCUCCUGGCACACUUAAAGGCAGCAAACCUCCUUGACACUGCCACCAACUCAACUUGUUAUGUGGAGUUUGGAGCAGGCCGAGGCCAACUCACAAAAUCAUUGACCGAGGCAGUGACAGACAUCAGCAAGGCUCUGUUUGUGCUGAUAGAUCGAGGUGCUCAGAGGUACAAGUAUGACACCAAGCUGAGAUACAACCAAAGUAUCAAUGUAAAACGAUUUCGCGUGGACAUUCAACAUCUCAGCCUGGAAGGAGUGGAGGGCAGUGAAGACUACCAGCACAUAGUGGGACUUGGCAAGCAUCUCUGUGGCAGUGCUUCAGAUCUAGCCCUGCGCUGCUUGUGCCAGCACCCGGGUAUGCAGGUUGUGGGGGUGGUGCUGGCCCUGUGCUGCCACCACCGCUGUGUCUGGGACUCCUACUGUGGUCUGGAGGUGCUGCAGGGACUGGGUGUGCAGCCCUCAGAAUUUUACAUUCUGACAGCACUGACGGGAUGGGCAACUUGUAACUCAAAAGAUGUUCCAAGCAAGGAAGAGAUGACUUCUGAACCUCGAAACACGGACAGUUUUGGAAUGAAUGCUAGUCAAGAGAAGCAUCCUGAGCUUUUAUCACCAAAAGAGACUAUGACUAGGAAAAAUCUUGUGGACAAUCGUUACACAAGAUUGAACUUAGCAGCACAGCACCGGGAGGAGAUAGGCAGGAAGGCCAAACAGGUGCUGGACUAUGGUCGGAUGCAAUACAUGCGCGAGCAAGGCUUUGAGUGCAGCCUGGUGCAGUAUGUGGCCAAGGACACCACCCCGGAGAAUGUUGCUUUGAUUGCAAGUCGUGUGCCAAGGCCAUGCAGGAGCAGAAAACAGGAAUAAUAUCCAAGAAGGCACUAGAACAGAAGUAGAUCUCAAAAAGAAAAGGAUGGAAGAAAGAGUGCCCAGUCCAAGGUGAUGUUGAACAAGUAUGGGGACAGUGGAUCUCCCUGCAACACUCCCCUCCUGAUGGGACUAGUGUCCCAUCAGGAUUAUGGACCAACUCAGUGAGUGCUAAUGGAAAAUCCUAUCUCCUGGUGGCAGCAACCAGGUAGGGGGGGGGUACCUCACUAAGUCAAAGGCCUUUGUAAAGUCUAUAAGUGCAACAUAAAGGUUGUCAAAUUUG